GUGUGUGUUGUCAGUGAUGUAUCUGUUAAUCUGAAUACAUGUCUGAAGUCAAUACACAGUAAUUUCGUCACUACCACUGAGACGACACUCAU
This is a small nucleolar RNA of Neoarius graeffei (lesser salmon catfish), 92 nucleotides long. RefSeq annotates it as small nucleolar RNA SNORD70. Lineage: Eukaryota; Metazoa; Chordata; Actinopteri; Siluriformes; Ariidae. The record is from RefSeq and is a predicted model, not a curated record. The transcript has a single exon.